AAGGUACAACAUCUGUUUUUUGAAAAGGCAGGAUGCACCCAUCUGAAGGCUGUAAACAAGCCGGAAUUCGAUAUUUCUGCGGAUGACCUAGCUAUAGUGUCCACUAAAGCUUAUAUCGUGGGAAACAAAUUUAUCACUCAAAUAUGGUCGAAGGGUGGUAGGGAAACUGCGGGAGAUGAAGAUAGGCGCUUCUGGAUGAAGUAUGUUCCAAGGCUUUUUUCAAUGACGCCUUGUGCUCCUUUUCUAUUUUUAUGUACUAAUGCACUCACACUUUUUGUAGGAUGACGAUGAUGACGAAGAAGCCGAAGCUUAGAGGAUUUUUACUGAAAAACUUAGAGGACUUGUUAGUGCAUUUCGACGACAGAGAAAUUGUAAUGUAAAAAACUUUGUAAAUGUAUGGAAACAACUUAUUGUGUUACCUUGUUUUGUCCACAACUCCACAUGCUUCG
RNAcentral lists this long non-coding RNA (449 nucleotides) under Zea mays. RNAcentral's name for it is "long non-coding RNA (ZMAY_LNC005340)". Lineage: Eukaryota; Viridiplantae; Streptophyta; Magnoliopsida; Poales; Poaceae. The record is from RNAcentral.